This 301-nucleotide ribosomal RNA is filed under the name uncultured bacterium. RNAcentral's name for it is "partial 16S ribosomal RNA". It matches the Rfam family "Bacterial small subunit ribosomal RNA", at positions 509 to 807 of the family's 1533-position model. The record is from RNAcentral.
CAGUCGCCGCGGUAAUCCGUAGGGCGCAAGCGUUAUCCGGAAUUAUUGGGCGUAAAGAGCUCGUAGGCGGUUUGUCGCGUCUGCCGUGAAAGUCCGGGGCUCAACCCCGGAUCUGCGGUGGGUACGGGCAGACUAGAGUGAUGUAGGGGAGACUGGAAUUCCUGGUGUAGCGGUGAAAUGCGCAGAUAUCAGGAGGAACACCGAUGGCGAAGGCAGGUCUCUGGGCAUUAACUGACGCUGAGGAGCGAAAGCAUGGGGAGCGAACAGGAUUAGAUACCCCCGUAGUCCCUGUCUCUUAUAC